RNAcentral lists this unclassified non-coding RNA (323 nucleotides) under soil metagenome. RNAcentral describes it as "partial contains 5.8S ribosomal RNA, internal transcribed spacer 2, and large subunit ribosomal RNA". The stretch from base 1 to 120 matches the Rfam family "5.8S ribosomal RNA", at positions 35 to 154 of the family's 154-position model. The record is from RNAcentral.
GAUGAAGAACGCAGCGAAAUGCGAUAAGUAGUGUGAAUUGCAGAAUUCAGUGAAUCAUCGAAUCUUUGAACGCACAUUGCGCCCCUUGGUAUUCCAUGGGGCAUGCCUGUUCGAGCGUCAUUUGUACCUUCAAGCUUUGCUUGGUGUUGGGUGUUUGUCCUGAGGGACUCGCCUUAAAGUAAUUGGCAGCCAGUGUUUGGUUUUGAAGCGCAGCACAAGUCGCGAUUCAAAGCUAUACGCCCGCUUCCACAAGCCUUUUUCACUUUUGACCUCGGAUCAGGUAGGGAUACCCGCUGAACUUAAGCAUAUCAAUACGCGGAGGA